UACUUGAAAAGGAUAAGUUCAGUAGCAGCCCAGCAAGCCAACAUGGUUGCCGCAUUAGGGGGCAAGGAUUAUAUGCGAAUGGGCUCACUGGAUGGACUUGGAGAUUUUCGAACAUUAGCUGGAUCAGGACGGUAUGCUCAUCCUACGUUGUCGUCGUACACUUCAGGGGGCAUGCUUGGCAGACUAAAUAGUGCUGCUGGUCUAAGUGUUCGCAAAGAUCAGGACGGUAUUCUCAUCCUACAUUGUCGUCGUACACUUCAGGGGGCAUGCUUGGCAGACUAAAUAGUGCUGCUGGUCUAAGCGUUCGCAAUCUGGCCGCACCUCAGCUACUCCAACCUAGUCAUGGUCAA
Molecule: long non-coding RNA, 350 nt
Filed under: Nicotiana benthamiana
Lineage: Eukaryota; Viridiplantae; Streptophyta; Magnoliopsida; Solanales; Solanaceae
Description: long non-coding RNA (NBEN_LNC037914)
Source: RNAcentral